CGUGAGCAACCUGCCUUUCAGAGGGGGACAACAGUUGGAAACGACUGCUAAUACCGCAUAACAUAUUCGAACGGCAUCGUUUGAAUAUCAAAGGAGCAAUCCGCUGAAAGAUGGGCUCGCGUCUGAUUAGAUAGUUGGUGAGGUAACGGCCCACCAAGUCGACGAUCAGUAGCCGGACUGAGAGGUUGAUCGGCCACAUUGGGACUGAGACACGGCCCAGACUCCUACGGGAGGCAGCAGUGGGGGAUAUUGGACAAUGGGGGAAACCCUGAUCCAGCGAUGCCGCGUGAGGGAAGAAGGUUUUCGGAUUGUAAACCUCUGUGGACAGUGACGAUAAUGACGGUAGCUGUUUAGAAAGCCACGGCUAACUACGUGCCAGCAGCCGCGGUAAUACGUAGGUGGCGAGCGUUGUCCGGAAUUACUGGGUGUAAAGGGAGUGCAGGCGGGACUGCAAGUCAGAAGUGAAAAUUAUGGGCUUAACCCAUAACCUGCUUUUGAAACUGUAGUUCUUGAGUGAGGCAGAGGCAAGCGGAAUUCCUAGUGUAGCGGUGAAAUGCGUAGAUAUUAGGAGGAACACCAGUGGCGAAGGCGGCUUGCUGGGCCUUUACUGACGCUGAGGCUCGAA
Molecule: ribosomal RNA, 625 nt
Filed under: uncultured Lachnospiraceae bacterium
Lineage: Bacteria; Bacillati; Bacillota; Clostridia; Lachnospirales; Lachnospiraceae
Description: bacterial SSU rRNA
Rfam family: Bacterial small subunit ribosomal RNA
Source: RNAcentral